GGAAACUGUCACGAGAGUUAAGAGUCCAUCUGGAAGCUCGCUCCAAAACUUGACCAGGACAGACGGAUCCUGCUCCUCCCUCUUUUGUUUGUGUGUGUGUGUGCGUGCGCGCGUGUGUGUGCGCGUGUAUGUGUGUGUGUGUGUGUGUGUGUGUUGGGGGGUUUACCGUAGUGCAAUGUGUCUCCGAGGGUGAAUGCGUUGCUUCUAACGUGCGUCGAGGCCGCACACGGUGAUGCACCGCGAAGAAAAGCGCCCACGAACAGAAGAGUCGACGCACAUUGGAGGCCGAGUAGCGGCUCGCGACCGAAAUUUCACAGGACACGAGCGCGUCGAACGGGCGCCAGUUUUUUCCGAAGGGAAGAGAACAAAUGGCAUAACGCCUUUGGCCAAACCGUGGGAUUGAUUUUCUGUUUUGUUUUGUCCAUCUCGUGUGGUGGCUGCAUUGAUUUGAAGUAAUCAGUCGGCCAUGUUUUAUUUUACAACACGGCUCAUUAUGCGAAGUGACCGCCGGGAGGGCCGAUCAAUAGGUCACGACUUACCCUAAACUUUUCGCUGGAUCUUAAAGAGUGUUCUAGCGAAAGCGUUCUCCGACAACCUCACAGUCGUUCGUUUCUUAGCGGCGGCCAUUCCGCUGCGCUCCUGGUCUUCACCUGUUUGUCGUUUUGUCGUCACGCCAAACACUGCGUCGGUGUGCGACGGUGUGCGUCGUGGUAAAAUAAGCAGAUGGAGAAGGGAAGGGGGAAAAAAAGUGGGCGGGUGAGGUCAAUGUGUGUUUUUGAGCAUCCUCCGUUGCAGCAGGUCGACGGGGGGAGGGGAGGUUAGGGAGGAAUGUAGGGAGCAAGCCCCCCCCCCCCUUCGCCUUGUGCCUUCUCCUCUGUGUGUCUUUUCCUUUCUGUGUUGAGAUUAGGUGUCCCUGCUCCUGUGCGCGCGCCUCGUGUUUGGACCAUAAGGCAAGCGAGUAAAGAGGUUUGUUUGUUUUGAUGACUGUCGGUGGACCCUCCCCCUCCCCCCCGGUUGGGAAUGUUUAACCACACGGUCCAGUUUGCUGUUGCGAGGUGCAACGGGAGGACAUAAGUCAUUAUGUCCAAAAAAACGAAAGAGGACAAAACUCGUUCGGGUACAUGCUGCAAAUUCUUGUUUCAGGUGGAAGUGGUUUGUGGUGUAAAAGCCGGUGUGUCUGUGUGGAUUUUAAAAACAAAAUUAAAAAAAGGUGUUCUUUUGAUUUUUAGAAGAUGGAAAAGUGCAUUAAUGUGAUUGCACUCUUGAGGGGAAGGCAAAAAGGAGACCUCAGCCACUCGACUGUGUGAAAUUCUCCCCGAGUAAAGAACGUGACUUGUUUAGGCUUGCUUGCAAUGCUUGCUGGGAAAUCCUGGAAUGUGUGGAAUGGGGGACGGUGGUGCUUCUGCAGUUAUCUCACUGCGUAGAGCAGCAAGUACCCUGCAACGAAAACCCAACAUGUCAGCCGCGCUUUCUCCUCAGCCACUUCUUAAUGUGCAGAAAUACCGGCAUCUGCAUUUCAUUAAGUGCAUUAAAAGAAACUGCGCAGGAAAUGUUUUUGUUUCUUUCCUUUCGAGACGUGUCAUUGACCCCAUUGUCCUUGGGCGGAUGUGUUCUCGUUACACGGUAGUUAAUUACGCUUUUUAAAGGCACAGAUUGAUUCGCUGUUAGACGAUGGUUAAAAAGGAAAAACAAAACUGUCAUUCAAGUACAUGAUUUUUACGUAAAAUGUAUAUCAGUUAAAUGUGUUUUUAAUAAAAGUAAAUGUGGUUUAUGUGACAUUCCUCAUGAGGGACAAACCGCUGUUACUGUUCUCUGACACCC
Long non-coding RNA from Gasterosteus aculeatus aculeatus (three-spined stickleback), 1821 nucleotides. Lineage: Eukaryota; Metazoa; Chordata; Actinopteri; Perciformes; Gasterosteidae. The record is from Ensembl.